GUCUCCGGCCACACCACUCUGAACGCGCCCGAUCUCGUCUGAUCUCGGAAGCUAAGCAGGGUCGGGCCUGGUUAGUACUUGGAUGGGAGACCACCUGGGACUACCGGGUGCUGUAGGCU
Bison bison bison is the source of this 119-nucleotide ribosomal RNA. The record is from Ensembl. Lineage: Eukaryota; Metazoa; Chordata; Mammalia; Artiodactyla; Bovidae.